UCCCAGCACCCCGAGUGGUCGGGACGUUUAUUGGGCCUAAAGCAUCCGUAGCCGGUUCUGCAAGUCUUCCGUUAAAUCCACCUGCUUAACAGAUGGGCCGCGGAAGAUACUAUAGAGCUAGGAGGCGGGAGAGGCAAGCGGUACUCGAUGGGUAGGGGUAAAAUCCGUUGAUCCAUUGAAGACCACCGGUGGCGAAGGCGGCGUCCUGGACCAACACUGACACUGAGGAGCGAAAGCCAGGGGAGCAAACGGG
RNAcentral lists this ribosomal RNA (253 nucleotides) under uncultured bacterium. RNAcentral's name for it is "partial 16S ribosomal RNA". It matches the Rfam family "Archaeal small subunit ribosomal RNA", at positions 474 to 727 of the family's 1478-position model. The record is from RNAcentral.